This is a non-coding RNA of Mycena leptocephala, 93 nucleotides long. NCBI's taxonomy places the organism in Eukaryota, Fungi, Basidiomycota, Agaricomycetes, Agaricales, Mycenaceae. The record is from the annotation of a GenBank genome assembly.
GCCCGUGUAGUGUAGCGGUAACACACUCCAUUGCUUUACGACAACCUUUUUCAGCUUCUUGGGGGGUCAUGCGUUCGAUUCGCGCCAUGGGCA